GCAUCUGUGGUGGAAUGGCAGACACGCUGGAUUUAGGUUCCAGUGCCGAAAGGCGUGUGGGUUCAAGUCCCACCAGAUGCA
This 81-nucleotide transfer RNA is filed under the name Kiritimatiellia bacterium. RNAcentral's name for it is "Kiritimatiellae bacterium (gut metagenome) tRNA-Leu". It matches the Rfam family "tRNA". From Rfam's summary of the family: Transfer RNA (tRNA) molecules are approximately 80 nucleotides in length. Their secondary structure includes four short double-helical elements and three loops (D, anti-codon, and T loops). Lineage: Bacteria; Pseudomonadati; Kiritimatiellota; Kiritimatiellia. The record is from RNAcentral.